AGCAGCCGCGGUAAUUCCAGCUCCAAUAGCGUAUAUUAAAGUUGUUGCAGUUAAAAAGCUCGUAGUUGAACUUCGGGGUUCACCCAUUGGUCAGGCUUAAUUGUCUGCACUGGUGAGAUGAAUCUCUACCUUCUGAGGAACUUUCAUGCCAUUUACUUGGUGUGAUUGGAAAUCAGGACUGUUACUUUGAAAAAAUUAGAGUGUUUAAAGCAGGCUAACGUCUGAAUACAUUAGCAUGGAAUAAUGAAAUAGGACGGAUUGAUUCUAUUUCGUUGGUUUCUAGGAUCACCGUAAUGAUUAAUAGGGAUAGUUGGGGGCAUUAGUAUUCAGUUGUCAGAGGUGAAAUUCUUGGAUUUAUUGAGGACUAACUACUGCGAAAGCAUUUGCCAAGGAUGUUUUCAUUAAUCAAGAACGAAAGUUAGGGGAUCGAAGACGAUCAGAUACCGUCGUAGUCUUAACCAUAAACUAUGCCGACUAGGGAUCGGACGAAGUUAAUUUUAUAAUGACGCGUUC
RNAcentral lists this ribosomal RNA (513 nucleotides) under uncultured Diversispora. RNAcentral's name for it is "SSU rRNA". It matches the Rfam family "Eukaryotic small subunit ribosomal RNA", at positions 569 to 1081 of the family's 1831-position model. Lineage: Eukaryota; Fungi; Glomeromycota; Glomeromycetes; Diversisporales; Diversisporaceae. The record is from RNAcentral.